Molecule: long non-coding RNA, 204 nt
Organism: Amblyraja radiata (thorny skate)
Lineage: Eukaryota; Metazoa; Chordata; Chondrichthyes; Rajiformes; Rajidae
Exons: 3
Source: RefSeq, a predicted model, not a curated record
UACGAUUUGAUAUUCAUCAUUGGUGGAAUUAUCGGGAGUCUGGCUCUUCUCCUCGUCAUUGUACUGGCAGUGGUGUGGUGUCAAAGAAGGCGCAAGCCUACAGAUACAGAGGAAGGUAUUCACUAUGGAUCCAUCUCCUUCCAGCCUAAAGCAACUGGUGGCAGCAGCGAUAAUACACUGUCCUCCAAUCAAGCAUCAGGCAUU